This 253-nucleotide ribosomal RNA is filed under the name uncultured bacterium. Its description in RNAcentral is "partial 16S ribosomal RNA". It matches the Rfam family "Bacterial small subunit ribosomal RNA", at positions 524 to 776 of the family's 1533-position model. The record is from RNAcentral.
GACAGAGGUGCCAAGCGUUAGGCGGAAUCACUGGGCUUAAAGCGUGUGUAGGCGGAUGCCUAAGUACCUUGUGAAAUCCCACGGCUCAACCGUGGAACUGCUUGGUAUACUGGGUGUCUUGAGCCAUCUAGGGGCUACCGGAACAAAUGGUGGAGCGGUGAAAUGCGUAGAUAUCAUUUGGAACGCCAAUGGUGAAAACAGGUAGCUGGGGAUGUGCUGACGCUGAGACACGAAAGCCAGGGGAGCAAACGGG